RNAcentral lists this ribosomal RNA (496 nucleotides) under uncultured Glomeromycotina. Its description in RNAcentral is "partial small subunit ribosomal RNA". It matches the Rfam family "Eukaryotic small subunit ribosomal RNA", at positions 591 to 1091 of the family's 1831-position model. The record is from RNAcentral. Lineage: Eukaryota; Fungi; Glomeromycota.
CCAAUAGCAUAUAUUAAAGUUGUUGCAGUUAAAAAGCUCGUAGUUGAAUUUCGAGAUCGACUUAUUGGUCGUGCUUUUGUACGUACUGGUAUAAUUGAUUUCUCCUUUCUGACGAACUAUAAUGUCAUUAAUUUGGUGUUAUGGGGAAUCAGGACUGUUACUUUGAAAAAAUUAGAGUGUUUAAAGCAGGCUCACGCUUGAAUACAUUAGCAUGGAAUAACGGAAUAGGACGUUUGAUUCUAUUUUGCUGGAUUCUAGGAUCGACGUAAUGAUUAAUAGGGAUAGUUGGGGGCAUUAGUAUUCAAUUGUCAGAGGUGAAAUUCUUGGAUUUAUUGAAGACUAACUACUGCGAAAGCAUUUGCCAAGGAUGUUUUCAUUAAUCAAGAAUGAGAGUUAGGGGAUCAAAGACGAUCAGAUACCGUCGUAGUCUUAACCAUAAACUAUGCCGAUUAGGGAUCGGAUGAUGUUAAUUUUAAUGACUCAUUCGGCACCUUAC